GAUGAACGCUGGCGGCGUGCCUAAUACAUGCAAGUCGAGCGAACAGAUGAGGAGCUUGCUCCUCUGACGUUAGCGGCGGACGGGUGAGUAACACGUGGAUAACCUACCUAUAAGACUGGGAUAACUUCGGGAAACCGGAGCUAAUACCGGAUAAUAUAUUGAACCGCAUGGUUCAAUAGUGAAAGACGGUUUUGCUGUCACUUAUAGAUGGAUCCGCGCCGCAUUAGCUAGUUGGUAAGGUAACGGCUUACCAAGGCAACGAUGCGUAGCCGACCUGAGAGGGUGAUCGGCCACACUGGAACUGAGACACGGACCAGACUCCUACGAGAGGCAGCAGUAGGGAAUGUUCCGCAAUGGGCGAAAGCCUUACGGAGCAAGGCCGCGUGAGUGAUGAAGGUCUUCGGAUCGUAAAACUCUGUUAUUAGGGAAGAACAAAUGUGUAAGUAACUAUGCACGUCUUGACGGUACCUAAUCAGAAAGCCACGGCUAACUACGUG
Molecule: ribosomal RNA, 497 nt
Filed under: uncultured bacterium
Lineage: Bacteria
Description: partial 16S ribosomal RNA
Rfam family: Bacterial small subunit ribosomal RNA
Source: RNAcentral